CCCUUAGAUGUUCUGGGCUGCACACGUGCUACACUGGCAGGUUCAGCGAGCUUCAUGCCCUGAUCUGAAAGGAAUGGGAAAUCUUUUCAAAACCUGCCGUGCUUGGGAUAGAUGUUUGCAAUUAUUCAUCUUCAACGAGGAUUGCCUUGUAAGCGCACGUCAUCAGCGUGCAUUGAAUACGACCCGGUAUUCUGUACACACCGCCCGUCGCUCCUACCGAUUGAAGUUUUCGGUGAGUUGACAGGAGGAUUUUUUUGAAACUGGUUCGCCAGUGGAUUUUAGAUCCAAAUGCCAACGAAUCGAUGGCUUUAGAGGAAGGAGAAGUCGUAACA
This 332-nucleotide ribosomal RNA is filed under the name uncultured eukaryote. RNAcentral describes it as "partial 18S ribosomal RNA". It matches the Rfam family "Eukaryotic small subunit ribosomal RNA", at positions 1470 to 1796 of the family's 1831-position model. The record is from RNAcentral.